CUCGUAGGCGGUCCUGAAAGUCAGCUGUGAAAUCACCAGGCUUAACCUGGUAGGGUCAGCUGAAACUUCAGGACUUGAGGGUAGAAGAGGAAAGCGGAAUUCCCGGUGUAGCGGUGAAAUGCGUAGAUAUCGGGGAGGAACACCAGUGGCGAAGGCGGCUUUCUGGUCUACCCCUGACGCUGAGGAGCGAAAGCCAGGGGGAGCAAACG
This 209-nucleotide ribosomal RNA is filed under the name uncultured bacterium. Its description in RNAcentral is "partial 16S ribosomal RNA". It matches the Rfam family "Bacterial small subunit ribosomal RNA", at positions 568 to 774 of the family's 1533-position model. The record is from RNAcentral.